This 473-nucleotide ribosomal RNA is filed under the name uncultured Bacilli bacterium. RNAcentral's name for it is "partial 16S ribosomal RNA". The record is from RNAcentral. Lineage: Bacteria; Bacillati; Bacillota; Bacilli.
AGUUGCAGCCUACAAUCCGAACUGAGAAUGGUUUUAUGGGAUUGGCUAGACCUUGCGGUUUUGCAGCCCUUUGUACCAUCCAUUGUAGCACGUGUGUAGCCCAGGUCAUAAGGGGCAUGAUGAUUUGACGUCAUCCCCACCUUCCUCCGGUUUGUCACCGGCAGUCACCUUANAGUGCCCAACUGAAUGCUGGCAACUAAAAUCAAGGGUUGCGCUCGUUGCGGGACUUAACCCAACAUCUCACGACACGAGCUGACNACAACCAUGCACCACAUGUCACUCUGUCCCCCGAAGGGGAAAUUCCUAUCUCUAGGAGUGUCAAAGGAUGUCAAGACCUGGUAAGGUUCUUCGCGUUGCUUCNAAUUAAACCACAUGCUCCACCGCUUGUGCGGGCCCCCGUCAAUUCCUUUGAGUUUCAGCCUUGCGGCCGUACUCCCCAGGCGGAGUGCUUAAUGCGUUAGCUGCAGCACUAA